RNAcentral lists this ribosomal RNA (1386 nucleotides) under Pseudomonas aeruginosa. RNAcentral describes it as "bacterial SSU rRNA". It matches the Rfam family "Bacterial small subunit ribosomal RNA". Lineage: Bacteria; Pseudomonadati; Pseudomonadota; Gammaproteobacteria; Pseudomonadales; Pseudomonadaceae. The record is from RNAcentral.
CAGGCCUCACAUGCAGUCGAGCGGUGAAGGAGAGCUGUGCUCCUGGAUUCAGCGGCGGACGGGUGAGUAAUGCCUAGGAAUCUGCCUGGUAGUGGGGGAUAACGUCCGGAAACGGGCGCUAAUACCGCAUACGUCCUGAGGGGAAAAUGGGGAUCUUGGACUCACCCUAUCAGAGGCCUAGUCGGAUAGCUAGUGGUGGGUAAAGCCUACCAGGCGACGAUCCGUAACGUCUGAGAGGAUGAUCAGUCACACGAAAUGAGACACGGUCCAGACUCUACGGGAGGCAGCAGUGGGAAUAUGGACAAUGGGCGAAAGCCUGAUCCAGCCAUGCCGCGUGUGUGAAGAAGGUCUUCGGAUUGUAAAGCACUUUAAGUUGGGAGGAAGGGCAGUAAGUUAAUACCUUGCUGUUUUGACGUUACCAACAGAAUAAGCACCGGCUAACUUCGUGCCAGCAGCCGCGGUAAUACGAAGGGUGCAAGCGUUAAUCGGAAUUACUGGGCGUAAAGCGCGCGUAGGUGGUUCAGCAAGUUGGAUGUGAAAUCCCCGGGCUCAACCUGGGAACUGCAUCCAAAACUACUGAGCUAGAGUACGGUAGAGGGUGGUGGAAUUUCCUGUGUAGCGGUGAAAUGCGUAGAUAUAGGAAGGAACACCAGUGGCGAAGGCGACCACCUGGACUGAUACUGACACUGAGGUGCGAAAGCGUGGGGAGCAAACAGGAUUAGAUACCCUGGUAGUCCACGCCGUAAACGAUGUCGACUAGCCGUUGGGAUCCUUGAGAUCUUAGUGGCGCAGCUAACGCGAUAAGUCGACCGCCUGGGGAGUACGGCCGCAAGGUUAAAACUCAAAUGAAUUGACGGGGGCCCGCACAAGCGGUGGAGCAUGUGGUUUAAUUCGAAGCAACGCGAAGAACCUUACCUGGCCUUGACAUGCUGAGAACUUUCAGAGAUGGAUUGGUGCCUUCGGGAACUCAGACACAGGUGCUGCAUGGCUGUCGUCAGCUCGUGUCCUGAGAUGUUGGGUUAAGUCCCGUAACGAGCGCAACCCUUGUCCUUAGUACAGCACCUCGGGUGGGCACUCUAAGGAGACUGCCGUGACAACCGGAAGAGGUGGGAAGACCUCAAGCACAGGCCCUUACGGCCGGGCUACCACGUGCUACAUGGUCGGUACAAGGUUGCCAACCCCGAGGUGGAACUAUCCCUAAAACCAAUGUAAUCCGGAUCCAUCGAACUCAACUGCGUGAAGUCGGAAUCGCUAGUAAUCGUGAAUCAGAAUGUCACGGUGAAUACGUUCCCGGGCCUUGUACACACCGCCCGUCACACCAUGGGAGUGGGUUGCUCCAGAAGUAGCUAGUCUAACCAGCAAAGGGGGCACUGGUCACGCACGAGA